GGGGAGGGGAAGGGGAAGGGAGGAAGGAGAACUACAGAGGGAAAGCCACACAUGAGUUAGAAUUUGUCAUGAUGACAACAUGGUAUCUUCUAUAUUGAGCAAAAGGGAAAAAUUAUAAAACUAUUAAAACUACAAGCCAACAUUUUAUAAUAAUUAAUGCAAAUGAAGGGUAUUCUUCCAACUUCUCCCCAACUCCCCUGCCACCACCCAGGCCUGGACAGCUAUAAGAGCUCCCCACAGCUUGUCCCCACUCUUGCCCUGCUCCAAUCAGAGGCUCUUUUUAGAUGAAAGUUGGUGGUGUCACAAGCUCUUUAAUAGUUUCUUUCAGGGUACCCUAUUCUUCUCCUUCAUAGCACUUUCCACAGUUACACUGUUUAUUUUAUUUGCUUAGUGUCUGCCUCCCCUCAACAAACUCCAGGGUGAUAUAGACUGAAUUUUUUGCCCAUCCCCGUAUCCCUGGGUACCUGGGCACACCACGAAUAUCUGAUGAAAUCAAUCACUACCAACGUUAGUCUGCUAACAGCACUACAGGAAACAUCUCAAGAGUUAACACUGUCUGUUUUUAUAUCAGAAAUAACUGGGGAAUUUGCCUCAGGUAGGCAGGGAACGAAUAUGGAGAGAUAAUCAAACAAUCCAGAGAAGGGAGGAAAUAGUCUCUCUGUCUCAGUCAUUCUCUAGGCAACGGCAGAAAUGCUGGCCUGAAGGGUCCGUGCCCUAAAAUUUCUUAUGUCAGAGUAUCACCUGAUAUUCAUAUCAAAGGCAGACUCUGCUCUGCGUUUGAUGAUCCUUGCAGGGGACACAGAGGAGGGUUCCUUUGACCCUACGGGGACCUGUGUUAUAAGAUUGGAUCAGCUUGCAAAGUUCAGCAGGAUAAUAGCAACUGCCAUUUAUUGGGCACCUGUGUGUGCCAAGUGCUUUGUCCAUAUUAACCCAUUAAAUCCUCCCCAUAUCCCAAUGGGGAUAAGGGUUUAUUAGCCUCAAUUUGAAGUUGAGGAAAUUAAAGUUCAGGGAGAUGAAGAAACUUGCCUAAGCUCACAGCUGGUAAGCAACAGAACUGGGAUAUGACCAGGUGCUGGAGUCCGUGACCCUUCACCAUAUUACACGAUGCAUCGUUAUUGCUGUUUAGGUUUCGCACACUUUGACCACCAAAAGAAAUACUGCUUCUCUGUAACAGACAGGGAUGAACAGAAUAUAGAGAUGCAAAUGGCUGGUGGAUACAGAACACGUGUGCUUUAGAACUGCUUUUCUACUGUCACAGCACGUUAGACGGGGACCGUAAGCUAAGAGCAUUCAGACCCUGGGUACUCAAAGUGUGGUCCAUGGACCAGCAGCAUCAGCAUCACCUGGGAGCUUGUUAGAAAUGUGAGCAUCUCUGGCCACACCCCUGACCUACUGAAUCGGAAUCUGCAUUUUAACACAAUUCCGAGUUUGAGACACACUGGUGAAGACCGGGGAUUCUCAACCCACUUACCCUUCUGAGGACAAAAGUAUAUGAGGACCAGAGUUAGAAUCCCUGGCAGUAGGGCUGAGCUUCUGUGGGCUUUUUUAGAGCUUCCCAGGAGAGUCCAACAUGCAGUUAGAGUUGAGAACCACUGAUCUGGUCCAAACACCCACCUUAUUUUUAUUUUUCCCUUGUUGUACACUGCAGUUAAAAUAAGCAAAGUGACCUACCAAGUAUAAGGAAAAGAGUGUGAACUUUAGAGACCACACAGAUCAACAUUUGGAUCCUGAUUCUGCCACUAAUUUGCAGUGGGAGGCUUUUGGCAAAUCAAUAGACUCCCUGGGCCUCAGAUUCCACAUUUAUAAAAUGGAGCUAACACCCACCUUAGAGGGUCACCGUGAGAAACAUCCAUGCAAGGCACAGAGGCAAGGACGUGUGUGCACAGCAGGACGCUGACCAAUGGGGACUACUCUGACUGCCUGUCAGAUCACUUGGGCAGCAGGUGGCUGGCAGAGGAGCUAAGUGCUGAAGCCUCGAAAUUCCUGCCCCCGGAGUCCUCUCCAAGUGUACAGCCAAUGUGCUAAUAUGACUUUUGUUAAGACUCUGCUGAAAAUGGGGCACCUGGGGGGCUCAGUCGGUUAAGCGUCUGCCUUUGGCUCAGGUCAUGAUCCCGGGGUCCUGGGAUCGAGCCCCACAUCAGGCUCCCUGCUCAGGGGGUGAGUCUGCUUCUCCAUCUCCCGCUGCUCCUCCCCCAUCUUGUGUUCUUUCUCUCUCUCUCUCUCUCUCUCGAAUAAAUAAAUAAAAAAUCUUAAAAAAAAAAAAAAAGACUCCGAUAAAAAGACGCGGGAAGAAGCAGUUGAAAGGCAGUCUACAGGGAAGGAAGUAAAAAGGGGCCUCCUCUUCCAUGUGCUCCCAUACCCGCAGCCUGCACCGCUCGUCCCGUCUGUUCCAGCCAGCUGGUGCUAGGGGUCAAAGAUGUCUCAUCGUUUAGUUAGCAUUUUUCAAACAUACAAACAAAAACCACUUUCCAUACCGCAUGUUGAUCUAUAUUUACUAGAACAGGAAAUUAACACAGGUGGAAAUAGCUCCUCUGGAGAAAUGCCUUCACUGUGACGGAAACUAAGAAAACACAAAAUGUGGCUUUGCAUCUCUACCUGAGAAAGUCCAGGGUUCAAAGAGUGUGGGAAAGGAAAGGUGUUCUCAUUCCUGUGUUAGCAGUGUUGUUUUUUUUUUAAACUUUUUUUGUGGUAAAAUAUACUUACCAUAAAAUUACCAUGUUAACCAUUUUUAAGGGUACAGUUCAGUGGUAUUAAGUAAAUUCACAUAACUGUGCAUCUUUCUAACAGUUUUCUUCUUAUACUUCCUUCGUUUUCUUCUUGCACACACCUACACAUAUGCAUACGCACUAUCUUCAUGAUUUUGAGGCUUUGGAACUUUUCACAUAUAUAAUUAGAAAUUAUCUGAAGAGGGGUCCCAGGGCAACAUGCCUUUUCUUCUCAUUGGAAGAAAAUUUAUUUGGUGAGUGACAAUCAUGUGCCAGGUGCUUUCACAUACUUUAUUCAUAACAACCUAUAAGGGAGGGAGGGGGUGUUACACUCAUUUUUUACAGAUUAGGUAACUGAGGCUCAAGGAGGCAGAUCAGCAGGUACACAGCCACGUAGAAAGGACUAUGGCCAGCAUUCAUACUCGUACCUGCAGGACUCCAAAGGCCAUGCUCUUUUUUCCUUCUUUUUUAAAGAAAUAUUUUUUUAUUGGGCACCUGGGUGGCUCAGUCAGUUAAGCAUCUGCCUUCAGCUCAGGUCAUGUCCCAGGGUCCGGGGAUCAAGUCCCACAUCAGGCUCCCGGCUCUGCGGGGAACCUGCUUCUCCCUCUCCCUCUGUUGCUCCCCCUGCUUGUGGGCUCUCUCUCUCUGUCAAAUAAAUAAGUAAUCUUUUUAUGAGUUAUUAUCUUAAAAAAAUACUUUUUGAUACCAAAAAAUGUAAAGAAAAAAUAAAAAUCACUAACAAACUCCUCCCCUAAUCACUGAUCCAUAUUGAGGUCUUCCUGUCCAAUUCUUUGCGUACACCAGUACAUUUACUUCCCUGAUGUCCCGUUGAAUGCGGGACAGGAGAGGGGGAUGGCAAAAGGAUGUGACAGGGAGGGAUGGAACUUCCACGUAUUUUUUCCUCUGUAUAUGUAUAUGUUGCUUGAAUCUUUUACAAUAGAUGUAUUUGCAAAUGAGUUGUGCAGUAAAUGAAUGGAAAAUAAUUGGAAGUAAGAUCCAGAGGGGAAAAAAAAGAAUGUAUUGAUCAACAAGGGAGACUUGUCAACCUAGAAACAUUGAAAAAGAAAAGCCCAAGAGGCAAAGAUUGGCUCAGAACCAAGAACUCUUUAGGGUAAACAAUAAGGCUCAGGCUGAUAGGAAUGUUUCUAACAUAAAGACAGACGCAUCAGGCUUUCAAAGCAGAAUGUCAUUAAACCUCCCUAUCACCUAGUAGUGCAGUAGUUUUGGUCUAAUUCUGUGCCUGCCAGACAGCUUUCUAAAUACAAUUUAACUUCCCAUGUAAUUUGCUUACAGAGUGAGAAUGUUCUGGGUAGAUUAUUAUAAAUUUUCCAACUACUUGACAAUUAAACCUUUCUGCCAAUUAAAUUAAUUGGUUUUCAAAUAUUUCUUCAUUCUCUGAGAGCUCUGUUCGUCAGUCGGCAUCACUAAAUUCUGUCAACCCAGGAUUUGGGUUUGAACUUUCCAAAUCCGUAAGUCUGGACUCUGGUUUAUGGGAAAGGUCAACUGAAUGCCAUUCCUUGGAGUACUUUCUAGGCUGAGGGGCAGGAGGAUUGCAACAGACAUCUCUGGUCUUACACAUCCAAUAUGUGCCAGAAAACACCAUUAUUAGCACCAUUGCUAACAUUCCUCAGGUCAUGUGGCUAGACAGGGCCAAUCUUAGGCCAUUUAACAGCAGUACAAUGUGGUAGUAGGCCAGGGCAGGUUUUGAAGAGACAGACCCCAGCCACAAACACUGGGGGAAAGCCCCAUCCAGCAAGCACAGAUGGUAUCUGGCUCAGGCAUUAACAGAAGUAACUACCAAUUUCAACAAUCAUUCAGCCUCAUGUAGUAGAGGUAGGACUGAGGUGUCAUGAGGGCUGAGAAGAGCAAUGGUAGAAGGGAAUCGAAGAGUAAAUGAUAGGCAGGGAUCCAGGCAGGUGUUGACCUCAGGUGAGUCCACCUGCAGGCAUCAAUACCUGGUACCUAGGCAAAGACUGGGUUUCUUUCUUUCAUUCAUCAUUCAUUCAUUCAUUCAUUCAUUCAUUCAUUCAACAAAUAUUUGUGACAUACCUCUUGAGGAGACACUCCUCUAUGGGACUCUCAUGCUCCUGCAUACCUUGUUCAGUAUACCAGGGAUACAAGGCCUGACUACUCUUCACCUGGGCCGUUUCUCAGGGUUGUGUUGUCAGCAAGCAACCUUGAGGGAUGAAGUAAUGCCUUCCCCAGGGAUGAAGAGCAGGCUUGCUUACUGCUUACUAUAAAAGACAUGAAUUCCCCAAGUUCAGCGUUCCACACCUGCAACACAAACUCACUGCACAGUCUCCAUCUGACCCACAUCAUGUCUCCCGUGAGAACUGGGGGCAAAGGAACUGAGGCAAGCAUGCGGAUGCUAUGCUGCUUGCUGUCCUGGGACUAAUAAAGUCCUGUGUUUCUGACCCUGGAGUCUCAUGUCUCCUCCAGCAUCCAGGGACUAGUAAAAGGCUAACUUACUAGCUUGUAAAUUGGGUAAAACCAAAUUCCAGACCCUACAGCACCUAGUAUGUGCUAGGCCCUAUACUGGGUCUUGGGGAUAAAGCAGUGUACAAAAACAGAACAUUCAAGUGGGGGGGACGAACAAUAGAUAACAAAAUAAAAAAGAAAACAGUAAGAAGUGUUCUGCAGACAACAUAAAUGGGGUGAUGUGCUAGAGAUGACCAGGUGCCUAUACUAGACUGAGUGGCCACAGAAGGCCAAGAAAAAAGCACCUAGAGGGAAGCACAGAGGCAAGACGAGAACAGCAAGUACAGAAGGCCUGCAGUAGAACCAGCCAGUGUGGCCAGAGGAUGGUAGUCACAGGGGAGACGGUUUGAAGGCAGGUCAGUAAGGAGCUAGAUCCUUGCCCUGUGAGGCCAAAGCUAGGGAUUUAGAUUUCUUCCCAGGUGCAAAGGGAAGCCAUUGGAAAAUUUUAACAAGGAGCAUAAAUGAUCUGAUUUAGAUUUUUAAAACUGGCUCUAGCUGCUAAGCAAAGACAAAUGGUUGCAAUGGGCAAGAAUGCACACAUUUGGGAUGUUAUUGCAUUAGUCCACGUGAGACAUAAUUAUGGCUUAGACAAGGAUGGGCAGAGGAAUGCUAAAUAGAAGUGGACAGAUUUGGGCUGAGUUUUAGUAUUUUUUAAAAUUUUUAUUUAUUUAUUUAUUUAUUUGAGAGAGAGAGAGAGAGAGCAUAUACGGGGGUGGGGAGGGGCAGAAGGAGAGAGACAAUUCCAAGCAGACUCCCCACUGAGCACAGAGCCCGAUGUGGGGCUCAAUCCCACAGCCCUGAGAUCAUGACUGGAGCCAAAACCAAGAGUCAGACAGACUGACUGAGCCACACAGGCGCCCCAGAUUUGGGCUGAGUUUUAAAGUUAGAGUUGGCAAAAGUGCUAAAGGACUGGAUGGGGGAGAUGGGGAAAUGGGGUGGAAUAGUAGUUAAUAGGAAUAAGAAAAAGGGAAGAACCAAAGGUGAUCACUCCUAGGUUACUCCCCUGAGAAACAAGGUGAGUUCCAGUUGCUGAGAUGACUGAGACGAGGGAAAGAGCUGGUUUAAGAGAGAAUCCAGCGAGUCUCAUGGGUGAAGGCAGACCCAGACGGUUGCUGGGGUCUGGAGUUCUGAGGGGAGACCAGGCUGGAGGUAUCAUUUCGGGGGCCACCAUCACAUGGACGGUGUUUAAGUUGUGAGGGGUGUGAGGGGAUGAGAAGACUGGGCGAGAUGAUCUGGAUAGCGGAGAGUGAGACUCAGGCCUGCAUCGCACAACUACCACAUGAAGAACCAGAGCCCAGAAAUGGGACUUCUAAGAGUGGCUGCCAAGGUGGGGGAAAGCCUCGAGGAUUUGGUGUCACAAACGCCCCAGGAAAAUAUCACAUUCAAGUAGAACAGAGGGGUCGGCUAUUGAACAUUGCUGAGAAGACUGUCCAUCUCCAGUUCCCUGAGAGACAAGCCCUAAGUACUGCUCCAGUUACUGCCUCCAGACCCUGGGACAGUGAUAUCAAAUAAGACGCACAAUGCAGCUCAAAGGCAGAGUUUCCAUUACACCAGACGAGCGCGUGGGGCUACCUGAGUCCUAGAGUUACAGAGGCUUCUGCUGACAAGAAGAGAUGUCCCAUCCAGAGUGUGGCACGCUUGCUACCCUUCUCCCUAGACAACCCACCCUUCCCCCCUCCCCCUCCCACCCCCGAGGGGCCGGAGGGCAUACCUCUGGGUAUGGAUUCCCUUAUCUGUCCAGCUAUGCUAAUGCUCCUCAUCUUUCAAGGCCUAACUUGGUCCUCCUCAUUCAAUACACCCCCAUCAAUUGUUCUGUGCUUCCUUCUAUGCUCCUUACAUCCUUGAUAUAAUUUAAUUCUCGUAGACACACUGAGGUGAAUAUUAUCAUUUUCAUUAACAAAUGAAGAAAGUCAAGCUUAGAGAGGCUAAGGAACUUGCUUAAAAUCACACAGCUUGCAAGUGGUGAAAAUGGGAUUCAAGGCCAGGACUGUGGCCCUUCCCACUGACCUGCCUGCCUGCACAUGUGGCGAGGUUAGGGACUCUAAACAGUUUAGCUCAAGGCUGAAAGCAGAAGACAAAAAGGCAAAUUACAAUCACAAAAGGUGCAACUACAUAAACUGUGUCAUUACAAGCAAAUGACAGUCAGGGGACAUGCAAAUUGCUAUGGAGUUCAAAAGGAGAUCAGAAAUGCUUCUUGGAAGAGGCAGUGUGUGCAAUGGGCCUUGAGAGCUGGGUAGGAUUUUGCAGGGCUGAGGAAGCUGGGAGGAUGUACGAAGAGAAAGGAGCAGCCACAUGGCUCCCCAGUUGCAGUCAGUGCCUAAGUCCAGCCUUGUCCACCUCACCAUCCCCUUUACAGGGUUUUCCAUCUCUCAUAUUUCCUUUAUCCCUACAUCCCAGCACCUAACCCAAGGUCAUGCACACAGAUGUCCAGUGAAUAUUUGUUGAGUUCAACAGUGUCCUGUCUGAUCUCCUAACUAGUCUCUCCUUUAUCUAAUCCAUCCCUGUACCAGCCAAAUGUCGUGGCUAACCCUGCCCACAAUUAAACCUACUCCCUCUAGAGAAUUUGCCUAGUUUCUGGAAAACUCUAUGGGAACGCCCAAUAACUCACAGACCCACAAGCUCACAAAGCUGGCCUCAGUUGAUAUGACCUAACCCAAGGCCAGCCCAUUCGUUGGCUGAGCAGCAACCAACCCGAUUCUCGAGAGAGAAAGAGAGAGAGAGAGAGAGUGGAAGACCAUCCAUGGUGGGCACGGCACCACACAGUCCUGGGAAGUUGGGGCUGUGCCAAGAUGAGCCCAGCAAGAGAAGCAGAGACAUGGGAGCAAGGGGCCCCAAGAGGUGGAGGGAGCAGCCACAUGGCUCACCCUUCCAGGUCCCAGUCCUCACUCCUCACCCCACAAGGCCCAGCAACACUCCUUUUCCUGUUCUGAGCUAUCUGGGAGAUAGCCCCUAUGCCUUCCCAAUGAACUCCCCUAGUUACUUUUUUCCCUUUCUCAGUUUUAGACUGUAUUUAUUGACUCCCACCCACCACCGUUACAGCGAGUAACACAUGCUUUCUCUCUCUGAUUUUCAUUCUAUGAUUAUUAUUGUCAAGAUUUAUAAUGUUUUUUAAAACCUUUUAUUAUGUCAAUUUUCAAAAGAAGGAAGGGAGAACAAUGUCAUGAAUUUGAUGUACCUUCACCAACUCCAACAAUUAUCCACCCUUGGGCCAAUCUUGCUUCAUCUAUACCCUCUCCUAUAUCCACAUGUGGAUUUUUUUAAAGAUUUAUUUAUUUUAGAGAGAGAGUGGGGAGAAGGGCAGAGGGAGAAAGAGAAUCUUCGAGCAGACUCACUCCCUGCUGAGUGCCAAGCCCCAUGCAGGACUCAAUCCCAGGACCCUGAGAUCAUGAUCUGAGCUGAAAUCAAGUCAGACGUUCAACCGACUGAGCCACCCAGGCACCCUCCACGUGUGGAUUUUUAAAAUCAAAUCCCAGGCUCAUCUCAUUCUUUUCCUGCCUUCAACCUAGAAUCAACUAGGUCUCUGAGGAACCUUCAAUUCUUUUAACGGGAAAUAAUAAUUCAAGACCACUGCCUAACGUUCACUGCAGCAUUACAAGCAUACCCCGGAGAUAUUGCAGGUUCCGUUCCAGACCACCACAAUGAAUGUCAACCUAUACGUAAGCUGUAACUACACUUGCUCGUCAAUUUCAACCUCAGGUUGGUACAGAUGGGUGAGCUCAGCAAACAGCAAUGAAAACAUUCUGAGGGAAUCAACGGACUAUCCAGAAUUUACAGUAAAGAAUACUGUAUAUUGGGAUGCCUGGGUGGCUCAGUCGGUUAAGCAUCCACCUUCAGUUCGGCUCAUGAUUCCAGGGUCCUGGGAUCGAGUGCCACAUCGGGCUCCUUGCUCAGCAAGGAGCCUGCUUCUUCCUCUGUCUCCCACUCCCCCUCUGUGCUUGCUCUCUCUCUGUAAGUAAGUAAAGUAAGUAAGUAAGUAAAGUAAGUAAAUAAAUAAAUAAAUAAAUCCUUUUAAAAAAAAGGGAAGAAAAAAAAAUUCCCAGGGAAUCAAUUGGCUAUAUCGAAUUCACAGUAGAGUACUAUACAUUUUUCUUUGUAACGUGUGUGCUACAGGUCAUUGCUAUCAGUAAGAUGUGUACUAAGUGUGUGUGUGUGUGUGUGCUUACAUUUAUUUUUGGAGAGCUGGUUGUUAAGCAUUUACCAGCUACCAGCACUGCUCUGGCUCCAAUCCAAUGUCAGAUCAGUGAUUACAGAUCUUAGGGGCCCAACAGAGGGAAGAGAGGCUUCUCAGGACAACCAAUCAACUGAAAGGGAUGGAGUUAUUUUGAAAUCCUUCUGCUCUGAUAUUCAGCCUGCCAGGAUGGAGGCCAGAAACUCCUUUGCAUUUCUAGGGAUGGUUACCUGAUUUACGGUAGGUGAGUCUCGCUCUCCAUUUAUGGUAGUGAUCCAGUUUCCUUUUCAAAUGAAAACUGUUUAAAGUACCAGGGGAAAAAAAGGUCAAUUUCCAAAAGGAAAACAUUCAGUCAAUGAUAAAGGUAAAACACAGAAGGGACAAAAAUUCACAUGGCGGCCUGCAGUUGACCACACUUUGCGCAACACUCACUCAGUGCUGAAGAACAGAGGCUGUGAAGAGCUACACCGGGACUCCUAUUCAGGCAUUCCUAAUGACCCCUGGCUUUUUGAACUUACAGCCUUCAUGUCCUGGCCUGGACCACAGGGACCUGAGUCGGUGAGAGGCGGGAAGCCCAGGGCCUGGCACCGGUGCAGCGGACUACAGAGGGGCCCCGGGGAGGAGCCUGGGCUGGGCCGGGCCUCCUCACUGACCCACACCAGGCACCGCCUUCCACCUCCGCUCCCCGAGCUGCUGCGUAAGGUCCAUAUUCACACACACACAGCAGUUUUGCUCCGUCAUUCUGUGAUGGCCUGGACACAGCGGCCGGCGCCCUCUGGCCGUGACUCAGCACGCCCAGACCAAAGCCGCCUUGCUGCUCAGGGCUGUUCGGGGCUGCUCGGGCAGCCAGCUGCCCCCACGGGACAGAAGAAAACUCCCACUACCCCCCAGUGCACUCUAUGAGUUCUGCUUUUUCAUCUUUUUUUUUUCUUUUUAACUUCCCUAGGUGGGGGAUAAGGUACUCUUCAAGUAGGUAAAGUAAACUUUAAUAGAUAAAUACAGUUAAACAUUGGUUGUAAGAGAUUUCAUCCCUCUGUCUGGGCUUUAAGGGUGGGAGACAUUGCUCGUGGUUUAAAUAAAAAGGCCUAAUGCUUCUCCCAGGUUCCUUCAGCGAUGGCCCAUCAGAGCCCUGGGGGACGCGUGCCCAAUGGCCUCCAUCCCCGCCCGCGGAGUUUUGACCAGCUAGGGAGGGGACCAGCUGUCGAUAGCACAGUGCCGUCUGACUGCCGCCAGACCCGGUCUCCCCCUUUUGCUCUCUGCUGGCUCUUCUCUGUGCUGGGCAGUUUGGCUUGCAAGGAAGGGACAUCAGUCGAGUUCUGAGGUGACAGGCAUUUACUGUCAUUAUCACGACGGCGGCAGCAGCCGCGUGAGUGGGCAUUUGUGCCAGGUAGACCCCACUGUCUCCCCACCCUUCACCCUACCCGCCCCCCCUCUGGGCCGUGGCAGGCGGACUUCUGUAUUGUGCACCCACCUCCCUGCCUUGCGCUCUCGCCUCCAAUUGGAUUGGUCUUUGGGUGGCAUGGGCAGGAGAUGAGAGGGAGGGAGGAGAGGGCUUGGGGGUCUGUACCCCCUCCACUUCUUCCCUGGAUGGCUGACUGGCCCAGCUGCACGCUUGUCCAGAGCCCACGGUUCCUGUCCCGCCGCCCUCUCUAGAGACUGGGUGUCUGGUAACUGCCCCUUCCUCGCGCCCUCAAGCCAGGAACGGUAAGGGCUCUUGCAGGGGCUAGCCCCAGGGGACUCCGCCAUCCCUUGCUGCUGUCCCUGCACCUCACCCACACCAUUUGUCCAUGGUCCAUUCCACUCUCCUCAGUUACCCAACGGAGGGUCCUGCCCAGACCCAGACUGCUCCCUGGGCACCUGGCUUCUCUCUACAUCCUCUAUCCUUUAACUCAUGCAGUCGUCACAACAAUUCCACUAGGUGGACACCCAUAUUAGCCCAGUUCACAAAGGAGGAAACUGAGGCACAGAGAGGGCAAUUAACUGCCCGAGUUCACACAGCAGUAGGCGGCAGGGCCGGCACCCAAACCCAGACAGUGCAGCUCCUGACGCCAUUCGGGGUCAGGACGUGUAAGGGAAUAGCAGCGUAGGUGUCUGUCUUUGGCCCUGAGAGCACAGGGCCAGCCAGACACUUAGGCCGCCGGAGUCUGGGGUGGAGUGCAGAAACGGAAAGAUCCUCCAGGCCACUCUGCGGAGCCCUCCCUAUCUCACAGCUCCCAGGACUGCCGCAUCACUGUGACUCAGCCACAUUGCCUCUGCCCACCCUGUCACCAGCACCCUGCUCCUCUCCGCUCUCUGCUUUUUUUAAGAUUUUAUUUACUUAUUUAUCUGAGAGAGAGAAAGUGCGUGGGGGGGGGGGGGCAGAGGGAGAGGAUCUCAAUCUGGGCCCCCACCCCCGCCCCCACAGUGUGGAGCCCGAUGGAGGGCCCGAUCUCAGGACCCUGAGAUCACUACUUGAGCCGAAACCAAGAGGCAGUGCUCAAUCCACUGAGCCCCCCAGGCACACCUCUGCUUUCCAUCUCUUGUCCUCACUGCUUCUGCCCAGGGCCUUCUCUGUGUGUCCUUUAAUUUCUACCCUCCACCAACUGCUGCUGACACCUUCAGUGGAGGGUCUGCUUGAUUGGGUCAGUCACCAGUCAGUCUGUUCCGCUCCGAAAGUCACUGGCCUGGCCCUGGGUCAGAAGCUGCGUGGUUACCACAAGGGGAUGGGGGUCCUGUGGAAAGCCACCAACAGCCCCCACUGUAGGAUUGCUGCACACAGAGAACACAGGAACAUACAGAAGCUAGAGUCUGCACAGCUGGCGCUGGGGCAGAGAUCCAGGCUUCUCAGGGGGGAGGAAGAAUAGACCUUCUCACCACUCCUCGGGAGGCCCUGGCUUCAUGCUGGCUCUCCUUGAGAGCAAGAAACUGAUGCCAAAUAACCCUCGCACAUUACCACGAGCUAGGUGAGGCAAGACUCAGCUUCUCAGAGCACCCCAGCAGACUUAGGCCUCAGGCCUGUCCCAAGUCCAUCCCUGUAGACAUCUACCCUGGUCGAUGGGUAUGGCCAGAGUGGGAGGGUCACCUAGUACCGAAUGACAAAACCAGGCUGGUCGCACAUAAGAAGCCACUCCGGGCCCCUUCUCAGACCUCUCCAGGUAUAGCAAGCAACCAGAUCCUGAUAGAUUCCUCUGGGUACAUUCCUCAUGCGCCCUCCACUCCAGUCUCCCGAAACUUUCCACAGGUUCUAGACAUAAAGCAUUCAUGACUCAGGAUGCCUGGGUGGCUCAGUCGGUUAAGCGUCUGCCUUUGGCUCAGGUCAUGAUCUCCGGGUCCUGGGAUCAAGCCCCAUGCUCAGCAGGGUGUCUGCUUCUCCCUCUCCCACUGCCCCUCCCUGUUCCCCUCCCCCACUUGUGCGCACUCUCUAAUAAAUAAAUGAAAUCUUUAUUUUUAAAAAAAAAAGCAUUCAUGACUUCCUGUCUGCCCAAACCAUUCCCUCAGCCCCGAAGGUCUUCCUCCACUUACUUCCAGCAAAUUACUUUCUCUUUAAGAAAACUCCCCAGAUACCCCAAACUGGAUCAAUUGUCCUAUCGCCUGUGCCCCCACUUCUUCGUUCUUUGGAAUAGCACUCACCAUGUCCCACUGCCAGGUUUUAGCUGCCUGUCUCCUCUCUUAAACCAUGAGCUCCUCAAGAACAAGGCUAGUGUCUGAUUCAUUUUUAUAUUUUAGGGCCCCUCCCCAGAACAUGAACAUACUAGAUGGCCCCCAAGUGAUAUAGAUAAAUAAGUGAUAAAGAAAGACAGAUAAGUGAUAUUAAAGAAAUGAAUAGAUGAAGAGCCAGGAACAUAACCAGAAAGUAGCAAAUAGGAGGGUGACUGUUAUUUCCCUGCAGGGAAUGGUGAUGAGGGAUGGGGAGGAGGGGAACAGGCAAGGAGGGAAAGCCAGCGCAGGGGUGUGAGAUCAGCUGGUCACCAUGUGGGCCUCGGGGCCUCAUCUUGCUGGAAGCUUCUGAGGAGCCACACAGAAGGACCUCACAAUUGCCCACCUAAUGGACAGAACGGGGGGGGGGGGGAUCUUCACCCUUCAGUCCCAUCCCCCAUUGGUUGAAGUUUGCCCCACAGCAUGGCGGGUCCCUCACACAUCCAGAAGGCAACCAGGAAGCAAGUGUGUCCACACUGCAGGGUCGGGGAGACACCAGGCAGCAAAUGAGUGAUUCUCGGCGCCACUAAAGUGAGAGCUGUUGGGCCGCAGGUGCAGAGAGCUGUCUGCCACGGCAGUGGCUAGAGCAGCAGCUGGGCCAAAAGGAGGCAAAGCAUCCAUGCGGGUCUCUGGAAGGCACAGAUAUUAAGGCUGGAAAGGCCUGCUGAAGGUUAUACUGCAGAGGGCCUUGAAAAUCAGUCCUUAAGGCUUAACUGGGUAGGCUUCCCAGAACCGCCGUGAAUUUCUGUGCAGUGCAGAAUAUAAAUGGCAGCACCAAGGGGUGGCUAGAGUCAGUUGUGGUCCCCUCCCUCCUAGGCCAAUCUGCCCUCUCCCCAGACCUCUCCAAAUAAACCUAGAAUUUAGUGAAAACCAGUCCGAGUGCUGUACCCUGACUCCCAUCAAUUAAUGGCCAUGCCUGAGCCCCUCGAGGAGACCGAAAUACUAAGCCCCAGUUGGAGCUGCUGCCUCCCCCCCUCCCAUGAGGAAAUCCCUAUAUUUUUAAAUACUGAGCUCUCUGUGUACAUCUUUAAGAUCUAAGGAAAGAGGAGCUUGGGAACCUUUAAGAAAAAAGCCAGUCACGAGAGAUUCCUGGUUGCAACCCACCAGCAUUGUUACCUGCUGAAGAAAUAGUUCCAUUCUAAUUUCCAAAAAGGUUUAGAGAAAUGAUAGGUGAAAGGGGGAAGGAAAAAAAAAAAAAACCCUUCAAAUUGGUGAAGAAUCAAGAGGAAUGCACCUGGAAAACGCCAUGACAUUAAUUUUUCAACUUCUUAAACAACUCUAUUAGGACCUAUACAAUGAGAGCUGGCCUUUGGUGCACCUAACACUAUGCAUUCCCUAUCUUAGCUCCAGACUCUGGUGGCACAUUCAUCUGAAUCUCCUCCACAGUAGCUUUCUUUGUCCUUUCUAAACUGGAUUUUCCUGAACAGUCCAAGAUCAAAGGCAAGAGGAUAGAUUAAGAUGUAUUUUCUUGUGUGAGACAUCGCCUGGAUCACCAAACACAGAGUUCACCAAAUGUUUUGAGUGGUGAUGACACCAUGCAGACAAGAUUACAGAGUUCUGGUGUGAUGUUUAAUUAAAACUUUUCAUCUGAUCAAGGGCACCGUCACUGGUGGUGACAAUGUAAAUUACCCAUCACCCAGAAAUUCUGCUUCUGGGAAUUUAUCCUGAGGAACUAAUAAAGAAUGUGGGGAAAGAUUUAGCCACAAGGAUAUUCACUAGACUGCUCUUGAGAAGAAAAUUUAGAAACAACGUAAGUCCCCCAAAGAGGGGGAUUAGCUAAAGAUAGUACCAUCAUUCAGUGGAAUUGUGUUCCCUGCUGCCAUCAAUGUAAACACUGUGUGUGUGUGUACAUACACACCAAGAGACAUGUUUAUAAAUUAUGCUCUGACAUAGAGUGAAAAGAAUCUGUGGUAUUCCCCAGAUUUGGGUAGAUGGGAUUAGGAGCAUGUUAAACGUUCUCUUUGCUUGAUUUUUUCCAUUCUGAGCAUGAACUGCUUUUGUACUAUAGAAAGAAUAAUUAAAGAAAAGUCCUACCCAGGGGAGUCCCAUUGCUCGUGGACAAGGUGGUCAGAAUCUCCCUCUUUUUCCAGGCUCAGCUCAUGGACUAGUUUAGUCUAAUAGAUAUUUAACCAGCUUCACUAGGCCAUGCCAAGCCCUGCAAAUUUGGGGGGACACAAUGGUGAAGGUGAGGUAUGGUUCCUGGCCUUGAAGGACUCCGGUCAAGUAGGAGCACAUAUACCUCAACAGAAACUCAUCAGCAACCUAAGGGGAGCCUAGGAUUUGAAGCGCAACUGCGCCCCCCAACCCCCAAGAUCAGAUACUACAGUAAAGUGCUUUGAAAGGCAGCACUGUACUAACGUAGGCUCCCAGACUCCUCCUCCCAUCAGAGCCUCCCAUCAGAGGGACCAGCUCGCAGGAAAAGCUAAGUGUUCUCAUGAGAUAUAGUAUAUAGAGUGUACCCCAUGUGAGGAAAUGGUUAUAAGCCUCUUUUUGGCAGCCAUAUGUAGGUAGAAUUUGAGUAAUGCUGUGGUCAGCCUUCUAGCAGCAAUACCCUUCUGAUAUAGUAAUAUUUCCCUCCUAAGAUUCCCUCCUAUAGAACAAUACUACAAGACACUAUAUUAAAGAAAGAUAUUCCACUUUCCUUUAUACUAGAUGUUUUAGAUCUGAUCUGAGUUUCAAGUGUGCCUUUUUUUUUUAAAUUGCAGUUGCAUGUUGCCCCCUCGUGUUCAUCUGUAUUAUUGCACCCUGUUGUAAGGUGUGAGGAAGAAGUGGAGGGAGGUCUGGGCCCUUGACUUCCCAGAAGGGGAAAAAUAAAUGUAGUGGAUAUGUGAUAGGGCUUGCAAAAGUACACAGAUAAUAGCCACUUAAACUGUAAAAUAUAAGCCAUGGCUCUAUUUUUUCUGUAACAGUAUAAAAUGUUCUAGUUUUUGGUCGGAAUAAUAAGAGGUAAUAUUUAGUGUACACUUACCGGGUGCCAGGCACGAAAUUAAGUGCAUUGCAUUUGUUACCUCACUUAAUGCUCACAACAAUCCUGAGAGGGGAGACCUAUUAGUUGCUCGGAGCUCACAAUUCAAGGGAGGAGAUAGACAUAAAAUGUCACAUCAAAACAAAGCAAACAAAGCCAAAGGGCCUAUGAUCUGCAGAGAGAGUACUGGAAUGAAGAGCCAGAAGCAGAUGGCAGGGGCUGUGUUCCAUAAUCUUGUUACAUUCACUGUCAUGGAUGAUGCCUGGAUGAUGUGCUUUCAGUCUACCCUCAAAAGUAAACCAUCUUGAGGCACCUGGGUGGCUCAGUCGGUUAAGCGUCUGCCUUCGGCUCAGGUCAUGAUCCCAGAGUCCCGGGAUCGAGCCCAGUAUCAGGCUCCCCUCUCUGCUUCUCCCUCUGAUUCCCACCCCACCAUGCUCACUCGCUCUCUCUCAAAUAAAUAAAAUCUUUAUUUAAAUAAAGUAAACCAUCUUUUCUUAACAGCUUUACUGAGAUAUAAUUCACUUAUCUUACAAUUCACCCACUUAAAGGGGACAACUGAAUGGCUUCUAGUAUGUUCAUAGAGAUGUGCGACACCAGGGUCAAUUGUAGAUCAUUUUUAUCACCCCUAAAAAAAACCCACAUAUCCAUUAGCAGUCACUCA
Long non-coding RNA from Mirounga angustirostris (Northern elephant seal), 16652 nucleotides. RefSeq lists it as uncharacterized. Lineage: Eukaryota; Metazoa; Chordata; Mammalia; Carnivora; Phocidae. The record is from RefSeq and is a predicted model, not a curated record. The transcript is spliced from 3 exons.